AAAAAGCUAUUUAGAUAAUUUUAGUAGGAUAAAUUUAAAAAUUUUGACUAGUAGUAAUUGAUAAAUCAGUAAAACCCCUAUAAAUUAAUAUAGCAUCUUAAUAAUUAUCGCAUCACUUAAUUACAACACUGCUACAUCACUUCUAACAAUUAACGACUGAUCAAUAUUUAAUCAACUAAAUUGAAUCAUAAGACUUUAUUAUUGUAACAAUUAUAAAAGUUCAAGCUAAAAUUAUAAUAAAUUAAAGUUCGAGAACUAAAAUUUCAUCAUGUGAAUCAUAGUU
This 283-nucleotide long non-coding RNA is filed under the name Ananas comosus (pineapple). RNAcentral's name for it is "long non-coding RNA (ACOM_LNC032337)". Lineage: Eukaryota; Viridiplantae; Streptophyta; Magnoliopsida; Poales; Bromeliaceae. The record is from RNAcentral.